UUCAAUGGGCGGGCCUUGGUGGGGAGGGCUUCGGCCCUGCCGGUUCCAAUCCCGGUCUGUCAACCCUGCCAUGUGCCCGCUCACCCCA
Molecule: non-coding RNA, 88 nt
Filed under: Paraburkholderia lycopersici
Lineage: Bacteria; Pseudomonadati; Pseudomonadota; Betaproteobacteria; Burkholderiales; Burkholderiaceae
Source: RNAcentral